GACGAACGCUGGCGGCGUGCUUAACACAUGCAAGUCGAACGGAAAGGCCCUGCUUUUGUGGGGUGCUCGAGUGGCGAACGGGUGAGUAACACGUGAGUAACCUGCCCUUGACUUUGGGAUAACUUCAGGAAACUGGGGCUAAUACCGGAUAGGAGCUCCUGCUGCAUGGUGGGGGUUGGAAAGUUUUGGCGGUUGGGGAUGGACUCGCGGCUUAUCAGCUUGUUGGUGGGGUAGUGGCUUACCAAGGCUUUGACGGGUAGCCGGCCUGAGAGGGUGACCGGACACAUUGGGACUGGGAUACGGCCCAGACUCCUACGGGAGGCAGCAGUGGGGAAUAUUGCACAAUGGGCGGAAGCCUGAUGCAACAACGCCGCGUGCGGGAUGACGGCCUUCGGGUUGUAAACCGCUUUCGCCUGUGACGAAGAGUGAGUGACGGUAAUGGGUAAAGAAGCACCGGCUAACUACGUG
This 468-nucleotide ribosomal RNA is filed under the name uncultured bacterium. RNAcentral describes it as "partial 16S ribosomal RNA". It matches the Rfam family "Bacterial small subunit ribosomal RNA", at positions 28 to 507 of the family's 1533-position model. The record is from RNAcentral.